GAAACCAUACUAGUCAGACAAGAUCAUAAUAGAUGGAAAAGACUAGCAUAAAUUGAGCAUAGGCCAAACAGCAUUAUAAUGGACAACGGUUUAGGUGAACUCGAACAGGUCAGAUGUGCUACGGGUCAAAACUUGUAAGUUGCAACUCUCAGGUUUGUCUCAAGUAGAAAUAAUUCAAUUCCAUAUUUUUCGGUUAACAGUAGAAAUGGUUGAAUUCCAUAUUUUCCAGUUAACUUCCAAUUCUUAAACACAAAGGUAUUGAGCAGCUACAAAUAACCAACCCCAUGAAAGAACCCUGAUAGCAAUGCAAAGUCCUCCAAUGGAAGAAAUGACUAUCAAUACCAGAGAUGCAUCACUGCCAUAGAAAGCAUUGCCAGUUGGAAAAUAAAGUAGAGGGCACAUUGCAAUACCUGAAUGAUGUGGAGCUGAUGGACCGGGAUAACCAGCUGGAGGAUAACCAGCUGGAGGAUAACCAGCUGGAGGAUAACCUGCAGGUGGGUACCCCCCCUGGGGAGGAUAGCCUGCAGGUGGGUACCCCCCUUGGGGGGGAUAACCUGGUGGUGGAUAUCCGCCAUGAUGAGGAUAUCCAGCAGGUGGAUAGCCCUGAGGAGGAUAACCAUGUGGAGGAUAUGAUCCUUGGGGUGGUAAGUGGCCAGCAGCAUAUCCGGCUAGAUGUGAAAACAACCCUUUAU
Molecule: long non-coding RNA, 692 nt
Filed under: Manihot esculenta (cassava)
Lineage: Eukaryota; Viridiplantae; Streptophyta; Magnoliopsida; Malpighiales; Euphorbiaceae
Description: long non-coding RNA (MESC_LNC005666)
Source: RNAcentral